GCACUGGUGGUCCAGCGGCCACGACUCCGCACCCGUAAUGCGGCAACGAGGGUUCAAAUCCCUCCCGGUGCU
This 72-nucleotide transfer RNA is filed under the name Planctomycetales bacterium. RNAcentral describes it as "tRNA-Thr". It matches the Rfam family "tRNA". Rfam says of the family: Transfer RNA (tRNA) molecules are approximately 80 nucleotides in length. Their secondary structure includes four short double-helical elements and three loops (D, anti-codon, and T loops). The record is from RNAcentral. Lineage: Bacteria; Pseudomonadati; Planctomycetota; Planctomycetia; Planctomycetales.